Molecule: ribosomal RNA, 429 nt
Filed under: Bacteroidota bacterium
Lineage: Bacteria; Pseudomonadati; Bacteroidota
Description: Bacteroidetes bacterium partial 16S ribosomal RNA
Rfam family: Bacterial small subunit ribosomal RNA
Source: RNAcentral
UAGGGAAUCUUCCGCAAUGGGCGAAAGCCUGACGGAGCAACGCCGCGUGAGUGAUGAAGGUCUUCGGAUCGUAAAACUCUGUUAUUAGGGAAGAAUAAAUGUGUAAGUAACUAUGCACGUCUUGACGGUACCUAAUCAGAAAGCCACGGCUAACUACGUGCCAGCAGCCGCGGUAAUACGUAGGUGGCAAGCGUUAUCCGGAAUUAUUGGGCGUAAAGCGCGCGUAGGCGGUUUUUUAAGUCUGAUGUGAAAGCCCACGGCUCAACCGUGGAGGGUCAUUGGAAACUGGAAAACUUGAGUGCAGAAGAGGAAAGUGGAAUUCCAUGUGUAGCGGUGAAAUGCGCAGAGAUAUGGAGGAACACCAGUGGCGAAGGCGACUUUCUGGUCUGUAACUGACGCUGAGGUUCGAAAGCGUGGGUAGCAAACAGG